CUUCCUCCGCCUGUUGAGGGCAGAUGAAGUGAAUAUGCGUAUCAAUCCCACCCGCAGUGAUAAUCUUGCCCUCACCAGCAAUAACAUCCGUACAGCUCCCCACCACCAUCCCCUCCGUCACCCCAUCCAUCACAUCCGGAUUCCCUGCCUUGCCAAUCCCGACAAUAAACCCCUCCUUAACCCCAAUGUCCGCCUUGUAAAUCCCCGUCCAGUCCACAACCAAUGCAUUCGUCACCACCAGAUCAAGCGUAUCCCUAUCCGACCGCCCGGUCGCCUGCCCCAUCCCCUCACGAAG
This 295-nucleotide small RNA is filed under the name Podospora anserina S mat+. RNAcentral describes it as "5' ureB small RNA". It matches the Rfam family "5' ureB small RNA". The record is from Rfam by way of RNAcentral. Lineage: Eukaryota; Fungi; Ascomycota; Sordariomycetes; Sordariales; Podosporaceae.